GGCAGCACGGACUUCGGUCUGGUGGCGAGUGGCGAACGGGUGAGUAAUGAUCGGAACGUGCCCGUAGCGGGGGAUAACUACGCGAAAGCGUAGCUAAUACCGCAUACGCCCUACGGGGGAAAGCAGGGGAUCGCAAGACCUUGCACUAUUGGAGCGGCCGAUAUCGGAUUAGCUAGUUGGUGGGGUAACGGCUCACCAAGGCGACGAUCCGUAGCUGGUUUGAGAGGACGACCAGCCACACUGGGACUGAGACACGGCCCAGACUCCUACGGGAGGCAGCAGUGGGGAAUUUUGGACAAUGGGGGAAACCCUGAUCCAGCCAUCCCGCGUGUGCGAUGAAGGCCUUCGGGUUGUAAAGCACUUUUGGCAGGAAAGAAACGUCGCGGGUUAAUACCCUGCGAAACUGACGGUACCUGCAGAAUAAGCACCGGCUAACUACGUGCCAGCAGCCGCGGUAAUACGUAGGGUGCAAGCGUUAAUCGGAAUUACUGGGCGUAAAGCGUGCGCAKGCGGUUCGGAAAGAAAGAUGUGAAAUCCCAGAGCUUAACUUUGGAACUGCAUUUUUAACUACCGGGCUAGAGUGUGUCAGAGGGAGGUGGAAUUCCGCGUGUASCAGUGAAAUGCGUAGAUAUGCGGAGGAACACCGAUGGCGAAGGCAGCCUCCUGGGAUAACACUGACGCUAUGCACGAAAGCGUGGGGGAGCAACAGAUUUAAUACCCUGAGUCCAA
This 729-nucleotide ribosomal RNA is filed under the name Achromobacter xylosoxidans. Its description in RNAcentral is "bacterial SSU rRNA". It matches the Rfam family "Bacterial small subunit ribosomal RNA", at positions 68 to 798 of the family's 1533-position model. Lineage: Bacteria; Pseudomonadati; Pseudomonadota; Betaproteobacteria; Burkholderiales; Alcaligenaceae. The record is from RNAcentral.